GACGGAGGAUGCAAGCGUUAUCCGGAAUUAUUGGGCGUAAAGCGUCCGCAGGUGGCUGUUCAAGUCUGCUGUCAAAGACCGGGGCUUAACUUCGGAAAGGCAGUGGAAACUGAACAGCUAGAGUAUGGUAGGGGCAGAGGGAAUUCCUGGUGUAGCGGUGAAAUGCGUAGAGAUCAGGAAGAACAUCGGUGGCGAAGGCGCUCUGCCGGACCAUAACUGACACUCAGGGACGAAAGCUAGGGGAGCGAAUGGG
Molecule: ribosomal RNA, 253 nt
Filed under: uncultured bacterium
Lineage: Bacteria
Description: partial 16S ribosomal RNA
Rfam family: Bacterial small subunit ribosomal RNA
Source: RNAcentral